AGAGUUUGAUCCUGGCUCAGAUUGAACGCUGGCGGCAUGCCUUACACAUGCAAGUCGAACGGUAACGCGGGGGCAACCCUGGCGACGAGUGGCGAACGGGUGAGUAAUACAUCGGAACAUAUCCAGUAGCGGGGGAUAACCUAUCGAAAGAUGGACUAAUACCGCAUACGAUCUACGGAUGAAAGCAGGGGACCGCAAGGCCCUGCACUAUUGGAGUGGCCGAUGUCGGAUUAGCUAGUUGGUGGGUAAAAGCUUACCAAGGCGACGAUCCGUAGCUGGUCUGAGAGGACGAUCAGCCACACUGGAACUGAGACACGGUCCAGACUCCUACGGGAGGCAGCAGUGGGGAAUUUUGGACAAUGGGCGCAAGCCUGACCCAGCCAUGCCGCGUGAGUGAAGAAGGCCUUCGGGUUGUAAAGCUCUUUCGGUGAAGACGAAACGGUUCAUGCUAAUAACGUGAACUAAUGACGGUACUCACAGAAGAAGCACCGGCUAACUACGUGCCAGCAGCCGCGGUAAUACGUAGGGUGCAGGCGUUAAUCGGAAUUACUGGGCGUAAAGCGUGCGCAGGCGGUUUGCUAAGACAGGUGUGAAAUCCCCGGGCUUAACCUGGGAAUUGCGCUUGUAACUGGCAAGCUAGAGUGUGGCAGAGGGGGGUGGAACUCCACGUGUAGCAGUGAAAUGCGUAGAUAUGUGGAGGAACACCGAUGGCGAAGGCAGCCCCCUGGGUUAACACUGACGCUCAUGCACGAAAGCGUGGGGAGCAAACAGGAUUAGAUACCCUGGUAGUCCACGCCCUAAACUAUGUCAACUAGUUGUCGGGGAAGAAAUUCCUUGGUAACGAAGCUAACGCGUGAAGUUGACCGCCUGGGGAGUACGGCCGCAAGGUUAAAACUCAAAGGAAUUGACGGGGACCCGCACAAGCGGUGGAUUAUGUGGAUUAAUUCGAUGCAACGCGAAAAACCUUACCUACCCUUGACAUGCUAGGAAGCCCGCAGAGAUGUGGGUGUGCCCGAAAGGGAACCUAGACACAGGUGCUGCAUGGCUGUCGUCAGCUCGUGUCGUGAGAUGUUGGGUUAAGUCCCGCAACGAGCGCAACCCUUGCCAUUAGUUGCUACAUUCAGUUGGGCACUCUAAUGGGACCGCCGGUGACAAACCGGAGGAAGGUGGGGAUGACGUCAAGUCCUCAUGGCCCUUAUGGGUAGGGCUUCACACGUAAUACAAUGGUCGGUACAGAGGGCUGCCAACCCGCAAGGGGGAGCUAAUCCCAGAAAGCCGAUCGUAGUCCGGAUUGUAGUCUGCAACUCGACUGCAUGAAGCCGGAAUCGCUAGUAAUCGCGGAUCAGCAUGUCGCGGUGAAUACGUUCCCGGGUCUUGUACACACCGCCCGUCACACCAUGGGAGUGGGUUCCACCAGAAGUAGUUAGCCUAACCGCAAGGAGGGCGAUUACCACGGUGAGAUUCAUGACUGGGGUGAAGUCGUAACAAGGUA
This 1492-nucleotide ribosomal RNA is filed under the name metagenome. RNAcentral's name for it is "bacterial SSU rRNA". It matches the Rfam family "Bacterial small subunit ribosomal RNA". The record is from RNAcentral.